CCUUGUUCUAGAAGAACUUGUGGUGGGAAUCACCGCCCACAGUUCAGCCUUCCGCAGUCUUGAGGCGGCAGCACCACCUUUUGCCCCCUGCUGAGGCACGGAGACCACCUGCAGACAUGGAGGUUGUGAAGGGGGAGAAGCCUGCAAGGUUUCCUGGGGGAAUUAUUCCUGGCGAUGGGAGUCCCACCGUGGGGUCCCUUUUGCUUCCGUUGCAGGGUAGCAGAGAAGGGAGAGGGUAAAGAAAGGAGCUCCUCUCAUUCUCCCUACAGACCCACCGCACCAUGUAAUCUCUCCUUCCCUUUGGAGGUGAAAACAACAAGAGCACAGGGAAUAUGCAGAGGACGUCACAGGAUGUGCCCAUCAGAGAGAUGAGCUUUGGAGACUUCCAAGCAAGUGGACUUUGAAUACGGUCACAGGGCCCUGGGCUGUGAACCCAGCAUCUCAGAAUAGGCUUUACUUACACAGUGGUCCCCCAGCGAGGCUGUUCAGGAGCUGCUUAUCACCAGUGCAUGAGGAGGUACCAAAUUCCUGCUCUUGAAGAAAGGGAUGGAUGGAACAUUUUUGUCUGAAAAAUGACCACAAGGAUCAAAUCCCCUGGAUAAUUCCUCCUCUUCAUUUCCCUUUGCCAGAUCAUUUCAUCCUGUUCUGAGUUUGCCAGGGAAAGCUUGAGUUUAAGAAAAAGCCUCUGCAAGGAGAAGACUGAAUUAAGAGAAAGUCCACUGGGCCCUGCCAUUCAUUCUGAUGAAAGAUAGCCAUAGAGGCCUCUCUUUACCCCAAGCAGGGCAUACAAUGGCCACUCUUCGGUUCAGCUUCCCAGCACAUGAACCCCACUUUCUCAGCAUGCUGAGGGUAGUCAGGCUCUGGCAGAUAGACCUGCACUGGCUAAACGCCUGGACACUUAGAAAUAAACCCAAAGGCCAAUUUAUUGCUUUCUACAGAAAGGUGGCCUGGUAAGCUACCAGUAACUGGUCCCUGGCUCUGAAUACUCCUUCCUCAUGAUUGAGUCCACUUAGGAGAACAAGUCAUGGGUUAGCAGGUGGCUCAGUGAAGACGAGAAAAAGCGGCCAAGUCCAGUGUUUCCAAACUCUUAACUUUAAUUGUGGAACUGUUUGUUCUAUUCACAACUUACCCUGAAACGGCAGAUAUUUUGCCUGCCUGCCUCUACUUCCGCUCCCAUACCUGUGCUAGACUUUGACCUCAAGCACUUCUUCCUGCUGGGUCCAAACCUAGUCUUAGAAUCCUCCUCAAGGAGUGGGUGAGAAGGGAAAUGGGAAUUCAGAGACUUCCUGGAGAAGGGACACCUGAGCAGGGUCUGAGAGCACUAGCUACUUGGCCCAUGGAUUCCGGGCUGUGGUAACAGCAUGCACAGAACUGAAGGGGAAAGAGAGCCCUAAAGAGCUGGAGUAUUGGUGCUUGCAGGAUGGUGAGCAAGGCGGCAGCCAGGUGAGCAAGGUCCACAGGGCUCAACAUGAUUACAAGUCAUAAGGUGGGUUACCCUGGAGUGGCCCUUCUCAUCCUACCAUGUUGCUUUCCAGAUGGUUUAAUCACAGAACAUAACGUCUCCAGGACCUGGUCUGCAGGCUCCAGAUGGGUGUGCAGUGCAGAUGCUUCUCCUAUGUUCCCCCAGGCUUCCAUGGGACAGGAAGGGAUUGUCACGGUCAUUGUGUUUCCUGCUGCAUAAAACUGGCUGGAAAUGAAGAUUCCUUCAUUCCCUGUGUCACUCUGGAGAUUGUGCCUCUGGACGCAAUGGACCAGAACUCAGGACACACCCAGUCCCUUCCCAGCAUGACCUUCCUUGGGAUGUGCCAUGUGGCGUGCAGACAUCACAUGGCAGCACCUGUGUGUGGGAGGAGAGCAUUCAUGCUCAUGUCUAGACACUAGCCAGAUGACGACACGAGCCUGCUCUUGGUCUCCUCGUUGGCCAGCUGAGGAUGCGGAGGAAAAGACAAUGACAAGAAUGUUACAGAACCUGUGGGUUCCCUUAACAGCCUUGACCUUGAAGACUCUCUGCUGCUUAUGUUUUCACUGGUUUUAUUUUUGCUUGUUUAUAUUCCCAGCUUGUCUUGGAAAUUCUCUUUCACAGCAUAUUUCGCCCAUUUUGAUUUUCAAAACCAUAUUUAGCAAUUAUAUUUCACACUUCAUCAGAUAGAAAUGGUUCCACUGAACUUCAUUCAAACCACCAACCCUCUCAGGUCCAAGUAAUGCAACUCCACUUGGAAUUCUGUCUACUGCCAUGGGCAGGGAUGGGAAUCUUUGUGUCGUUUCUGCAUUGUUAUUUGGAUAAAAAUGACACACCUCCAAAGCUUAAGUCUGGCAUCAAUUUGAAAGUUAACCCAACACCAACUUUUAUUUGUGAAACAUUUGAUUUUACCUUUCUAGAAUCCAUUCACCAAAUGGACUUCCUGAGGGUUUAAAAUUGGCACCUUUCUUUUCUUUCAUAUUGUCCAGUCAGCGCUUUUAAAAUAGAAAAGCGGGAAGUACCAGUAGAAAAAAGAUUAGGGCCCUCACUUUAAAUAAACGACACAGCUUUAUUACUUCC
RNAcentral lists this long non-coding RNA (2539 nucleotides) under Homo sapiens (human). RNAcentral's name for it is "HSALNT0381484". The record is from RNAcentral. Lineage: Eukaryota; Metazoa; Chordata; Mammalia; Primates; Hominidae.